RNAcentral lists this ribosomal RNA (702 nucleotides) under uncultured Tomentella. RNAcentral's name for it is "eukaryotic LSU rRNA". The stretch from base 132 to 286 matches the Rfam family "5.8S ribosomal RNA". The record is from RNAcentral. Lineage: Eukaryota; Fungi; Basidiomycota; Agaricomycetes; Thelephorales; Thelephoraceae.
UCACACCUGUGCACACUCCGUAGUUCUAUGGUCUGGGGGACGCACCGUCUUCCUCCUGUGGUUCUACGUCUUUACACAUACACCGUACCAAAGUCUUAGGAAUGUUUACCGCGUCUAACGCAAUACAAUACAACUUUCAGCAACGGAUCUCUUGGCUCUCGCAUCGAUGAAGAACGCAGCGAAAUGCGAUAAGUAAUGUGAAUUGCAGAAUUCAGUGAAUCAUCGAAUCUUUGAACGCACCUUGCGCCCCUUGGCUAUUCCGAGGGGCAUGCCUGUUUGAGUAUCAUGAACACCUCAACUCUUGUGGUUCACCAUAAAGAGCUUGGACUUGGGGGUUUGCUGGCAUACAGCCAGCUCCUCUCAAACAAAUUAGCCUGCCAGUGUUUGGUGGCAUCACGGGUGUGAUAACUAUCUACGCUUGUGGUUGCCUGCCAGGUAACCUUUGGUGACGAAGGUUCGCUGGAGCUUAUAAAUGUCUCUCCUUGGCGAAGACAGCUUUUUGAACGUUCGAUCUCAAAUCAGGUAGGACUACCCGCUGAACUUAAGCAUAUCAAUAAGCGGAGGAAAAGAAACUAACAAGGAUUCCCCUAGUAACUGCGAGUGAAGCGGGAAGAGCUCAAAUUUAAAAUCUGGCUGCCUCUGGUUGCCCGAGUUGUAGUCUGGAAAAGCGUUUUCCGUGCUGGACCGUGUACAAGUCUCCUG